Long non-coding RNA from Calidris pugnax (ruff), 2743 nucleotides. RefSeq lists it as uncharacterized. The transcript is spliced from 3 exons. Lineage: Eukaryota; Metazoa; Chordata; Aves; Charadriiformes; Scolopacidae. The record is from RefSeq and is a predicted model, not a curated record.
GUGGGGUGAGCAAGCAUCUAGCUGCCAGCUGGGGUUAAACCAUGACAAACGAGAAAGUGAGGUAGCUUGUGAGACCACCUGCGGAUCUGGAACGGAACAGAAGAUUCUUGAACCUUUCCUCCUCUCAAGAAGUAUCCGUAGAGUCUACUGGCAGCAAGAAGGAGCUUUUGUCUGAAGACCAUAGAAAAUGUGCACACUCUCCUAGAGAUGGUGGUCUUAAAUGUGCAAUUACAAAAAUGCCUUCCUUUCUCUAACGACUUUAGGAGAAGAAUGUGCUUUCCAGAUUCUUUCAUUUUCCUCAAUUGCUGCUCUCCUUCACCAUCUGCCCAACUGUGACCUUCUUUCUGGGUUGAAGGUGCUACAGGAUCUUUCCUUCAGACCUCAUCUGCCUCAUUUUUAAGUGUUUGCUGAAGUGGCUCGUGCAAUUCUUGGCAAGAGAUCGCUCCCUGACUGUGUGAGUCGGUGGAUUUGUGGCACCUGUCUCUUGCUAUUUUAUCGUGUGUUGCAAACUUUUUUCCUAUGAAAGUGGAAUCGCUGGGGGGAAGUAUGGGCUGCAUUAAUGAGUUCUGUUUUGCAGCUAAUCCAUGUUUAAUGAUUGACGUGCAUAUGUAUUUUAGUUUCACUGGUCCUGUCUUCUAUCUCAGUUGCUAUUUUCUGUCACACUCCCACCUUUUGCUUUUUAUGUACAUACCAAGAAACAGAUCCAGCUGGUCUGGCAGUUACUGCUGCUGAAAGAGGCAGAGGCACCCUCUUUCCCCUGCCCUGGCUGUGCUGCACAUUCCCGCUCCUUCCAUCCCUCACUCUUUGAUUGUCUAGUAGUACGUAACAAACAAACCAGGUACUUUCGUCUUUCUCGGAUCUAAAAUUAAUCUCUGAGAUUAUCUCACCGUAAUAAUUUUUCUGUGAAGAAAUGAGGAAUUGGGAGACAAUUUCAUAUGUGUUUUGGGCUCCCUAACAGGCAAUACAGAUCCACUGACUGGUUUUAUUCAUCACAGAAUGGCAGAGGCUGGAAGGCCCCUCUGGAGAUCAUCUACUCCAUCCCCUAGUUCAGAGGAGCUUAAGCAGUUGCAUUUUUAAUAUCUCCAAGGAUGAAGACUCCACAACCUCUCUGGGCAACCCAUAUCAGUGUUUGACCACUUUCACUGUAAAAAAAAAAGGUUUUUUUUCUAAUGUCUUAAAAAUAAGUUUUAUUGCAUUUAAGGCAUUUUCUUAUGUGUAAGUUUAUCUCAAGCUUGCAGAUCUGUCUACUUGUAAAUCUUAAAUGCUUUUAUGUUUUCUCUGUGCUUAGAUUUUUGUUCCUAAACAUCCCAAGAAAAAAUGAAGGAGCUGCAAGUGCCACAACACAUAUGGGGACGCCCACUAGUUACCUGGGUUUGCUGCCAUGCAUGUUUUACUGGGAGCUCUGUUGAGAGAAGAACAAAACUCCUGCAAAGAUCUAAGCAGGUGCUUCAUUUUAGAUACUGAAAAUGAUUUUUUUUAACUUUUUUUUUUCCUGUAUAAAAACCAAGAGAGUGCAAUAUUUUGUUUAUAAAUAUGUACCGUUAGUUUCUGGUAAGAAAUGAGCACCUGUGUCUGGCUGUAGCUUAUUGAAAGCCAGAAUCCUGUUAGAGCAUUACUCAUUGGAAGACCACAAUUGGAAGUAUCACACUUAAAGACUACUUUAAUUUGAUCCAAGUUUUCAUUUAAUUUCCCUUUAAAAUGAUCUGGGAUCUACAGUGUUAACAAAUGACAUCUGUCUAUUGAGUCAAGGAAGGUAAUGCAAUUGAUAGUGCUCAAUUUCAGCCAGUGCUAUCGUCUGGCAAACCAAUAACUCCAGGUAAAAAUUCUUAUUCCUGUGUUUACAUAAGUGUUAGUAACUUCCUGAACAAUCCUUGCUUACUGGCCAUGGCUAAUUAUUCCUGGUCCUAGAUCUACAGGCUGCUUCUGAAUGAGGAAUUGGAAAGAGUCAACAUAGUUCAGAAAUCCCAUUUAUUAAUGCUUUCCAAAUCCUUUUGUUACUAUAUUCAGAACAGAGAUAAUAGAUGUAUUUAAUUACUAUGACUUUUAUCUUUUGUCAUAAUAUUUUUGAUUAUUUUUUAUUGUUUUGCAGGAUGUUUUGCUUUGGUGUGAGAAUAGCUGAUUCAUUGGCUAAAUCUGCUUGUAAUUUUUAUGUAGCUAGCUUAAUAGCCCUGGUUUCUACCAUCUGUAUUUUGAUAGCCCUAUGACAGUGCAGGCUAUAUCCAUGCCAGUUAACGAAUCCUAUAGUGUUCUGUGGCUGAAAACAGCCUGAGACAUGCCCAACCUGUUGAACUGCAUUCAUUUGGGUGACCUGCCCCAAAAGUUAUUUGACACAUCGGUACAGAAAAAAUACUGAAAGCAACUGGAUCCAGUUUUUGUGAUGUCUCUGCCUGCCCAGCCCCUCGGAACAAAAUAUUUUUCUGCCAAAAAAAAAGAGUUACUGGGUAGGAUAAGAAUUGUGUGGUAUGAAUGCACGAGUCAAAUUUCUUUAAGAGGAGAAAUCAGUUAAUGCCUCCCAGUAGACAGCGCAGAGGGACAUCAUGGUUACUAUAGGGUUUCUACUCUGUGUGAAGUUGUUAGGGAGAGAGCUCGGCCAUCAACACAAGAAAAAAGGACCUGUAUGACAAAGAAGGUGGGGUGACUGUAUCUGGCUGAAAUACUAACAAACUUGAGAGUGUUGUGAAAUAUAAGGAUGGGGUGGGAUUGGGCAUCUCAGAACCAUCAUUAAAAUGCUCUAAAACCAGAA